Molecule: ribosomal RNA, 340 nt
Rfam family: Microsporidia small subunit ribosomal RNA
UGGAUAGUAUUAUUUAUGAAAUUUAACGGAUUUGGCGGCAAGAUAGCCACUUAGAGGAACCUGCCCUGUAAACGAUGAGCCACGAUUAACCUUACUUUUAUUAGGAUUCAGUUUGUAUACCGCUGUUGUCAGUUAGUUUCUUUAGAAAACUUUCGUACAUGAAAAAUUCAAGGACUUCAAGUAAAGGUGCAGCUUAUAUAAAAGAUAGAGGUGGGUUACAAUUAAGAGAAUAAUAUGGAUAAAGUAAAGAAAAGACUUUUGAAGGUGGAUUUAAUAGUAAAGUUUAAUAAGACUUGAUUAGAGCUCUAUCUUGUGUACACACCGCCCGUCGCUCGCGGGA